This 497-nucleotide ribosomal RNA is filed under the name uncultured bacterium. RNAcentral describes it as "partial 16S ribosomal RNA". It matches the Rfam family "Bacterial small subunit ribosomal RNA", at positions 28 to 507 of the family's 1533-position model. The record is from RNAcentral.
GAUGAACGCUGGCGGCGUGCCUAAUACAUGCAAGUCGAGCGAACAGACGAGGAGCUUGCUCCUCUGACGUUAGCGGCGGACGGGUGAGUAACACGUGGAUAACCUACCUAUAAGACUUGGAUAACUUCGGGAAACCGGAGCUAAUACCGGAUAACAUUUUGAACCUCAUGGUUCAACAGUGAAAGACGGUCUUGCUGUCACUUAUAGAUGGAUCCGCGCCGCAUUAGCUAGUUGGUAAGGUAACGGCUUACCAAGGCAACGAUGCGUAGCCGACCUGAGAGGGUGAUCGGCCACACUGGAACUGAGACACGGUCCAGACUCCUACGGGAGGCAGCAGUAGGGAAUCUUCCGCAAUGGGCGAAAGCAUGACGGAGCAACGCCGCGUGAGUGAUGAAGGUCUUCGGAUCGUAAAACUCUGUUAUUAGGGAAGAACAAAUGUGUAAGUAACUAUGCACGUCUUGACGGUACCUAAUCAGAAAGCCACGGCUAACUACGUG